UGCAGUCGACGAUGAUCCGGUGCUUGCGCCGGGGAUUAGUGGCGAACGGGUGAGUAACACGUGAGUAACCUGCCCUUGACUCUGGGAUAAGCCUGGGAAACUGGGUCUAAUACCGGAUAUGACUCCUCAUCGCAUGGUGGGGGGUGGAAAGCUUUUGUGGUUUUGGAUGGACUCGCGGCCUAUCAGCUUGUUGGUGAGGUAAUGGCUCACCAAGGCGACGACGGGUAGCCGGCCUGAGAGGGUGACCGGCCACACUGGGACUGAGACACGGCCCAGACUCCUACGGGAGGCAGCAGUGGGGAAUAUUGCACAAUGGGCGCAAGCCUGAUGCAGCGACGCCGCGUGAGGGAUGACGGCCUUCGGGUUGUAAACCUCUUUCAGUAGGGAAGAAGCGAAAGUGACGGUACCUGCAGAAGAAGCGCCGGCUAACUACGUGCCAGCAGCCGCGGUAAUACGUAGGGCGCAAGCGUUAUCCGGAAUUAUUGGGCGUAAAGAGCUCGUAGGCGGUUUGUCGCGUCUGCCGUGAAAGUCCGGGGCUCAACUCCGGAUCUGCGGUGGGUACGGGCAGACUAGAGUGAUGUAGGGGAGACUGGAAUUCCUGGUGUAGCGGUGAAAUGCGCAGAUAUCAGGAGGAACACCGAUGGCGAAGGCAGGUCUCUGGGCAUUAACUGACGCUGAGGAGCGAAAGCAUGGGGAGCGAACAGGAUUAGAUACCCUGGUAGUCCAUGCCGUAAACGUUGGGCACUAGGUGUGGGGGACAUUCCACGUUUUCCGCGCCGUAGCUAACGCAUUAAGUGCCCCGCCUGGGGAGUACGGCCGCAAGGCUAAAACUCAAAGGAAUUGACGGGGGCCCGCACAAGCGGCGGAGCAUGCGGAUUAAUUCGAUGCAACGCGAAGAACCUUACCAAGGCUUGACAUGGACCGGAUCGCCGCAGAAAUGUGGUUUCUCCUUUGGGGCCGGUUCACAGGUGGUGCAUGGUUGUCGUCAGCUCGUGUCGUGAGAUGUUGGGUUAAGUCCCGCAACGAGCGCAACCCUCGUUCCAUGUUGCCAGCACUUCGGGUGGGGACUCAUGGGAGACUGCCGGGGUCAACUCNGAAGGAAGGUGGGGACGACGUCAAAUCAUCAUGCCCCUUAUGUCUUGGGCUUCACGCAUGCUACAAUGGCCGGU
This 1169-nucleotide ribosomal RNA is filed under the name Arthrobacter globiformis. RNAcentral's name for it is "bacterial SSU rRNA". It matches the Rfam family "Bacterial small subunit ribosomal RNA", at positions 56 to 1238 of the family's 1533-position model. The record is from RNAcentral. Lineage: Bacteria; Bacillati; Actinomycetota; Actinomycetes; Micrococcales; Micrococcaceae.